Molecule: long non-coding RNA, 2435 nt
Filed under: Sus scrofa (pig)
Lineage: Eukaryota; Metazoa; Chordata; Mammalia; Artiodactyla; Suidae
Description: lncRNA (ENSSSCG00050060392.1)
Source: RNAcentral
CCCUUCCUUCUCCUGGGACUGCUAGACAAGGGUUUGGAACUAAAUGAUCCUGGGUAGGAGGAGGGAGAUGGAGCAGGGCCACCAUGUAUCGUUGGGCAGGUGACCCGCAGCGCAAUUCCAGGCAAGCCCCUGACACUCAUUCUUUGGUCAUGGUGACUACAGCCACCUUCUCCCAUCUCCCCAUCCAGCAUCCCUGGCAGAAGCAGGGCUGUUCCUUGAAUUUCAGCUCCUUGGAAGCACCCCCCACCCCGAUUCCAGUUGCUUUUGUGCUUCUGAAACAUGCAGCACCAGAGAAGUCCCUUGUUUGCUUCAUUUUGUUCACCUAGAAAUUGAUAGAUGCUUUCCAGGUCUCAGCAUAGUCCCCAAAGUCACUUUCUCCAGGCAUGUGGGAGCCAGCUAUUUGCACACCUGAAACAAUCUGUAUGUAAUCUCGCUGAUAGAAUAAAGACAUGAGUUUGAAGACUUCCAUAGCCAGAUCUGAGGCUGAAUCCUUCCCUCUGGCCUUCUGUUUUACCUUCUUCAGAUGCCAUGGUCCCCUGGAGCCAUUUCCCAGCCUAUUCAAAUGAAGAUCCAGGGAGUUUCCAUCUUGGCUCAUCAGAAACAAAUCUGAAGCAUCCAUGAGGAUGCAGGCUUGAUCCCCUGCUCAGUAGAUUAAGGAUUCAGCAUUGCCAUGGGCUGUGGUAUAGGUUGCAGAUGUGGCUCUGAUCUGGCAUUGCUGUGGCUGUGGCUGUGGCCAGCAGUCACAGCUCUGAUUAGACCCCUAGCCUGGGAACCUCCAUGUGCCAUGGGCGCGAUCCUAAAAAGGUAAAAAAAAAAAAAAAAAAAAAAAAAAAAANCUCUCAAAAAGCAGCUGUGGAAAAGCAUCCCAUUAUAAGGCAUCCCUACAUCUUUCAAAGAGCAGCCACGCUCAGCUUUUAUGAUUGUAUAACUCUCCAUAGUCAAAUAUAAUCAAAUAUUUAAAAUAUCCCUUUCUCUCACCAGAUCUCAUAAACUACAAAUCAGGAUUGCCUUUGUCUUCAGAAUCAGUGAUGUCUGUACUCACGGGUUAGUUCUACUCCAUUUUCAGGGGCAUCUCUGUAUCAUUGCCCCCGAAAUGUAGAACUCAUCUUUGACCACAGUGAGAUGCUUCCCCAAACUUCCAGAUGCUGCAAUGAAUGGUAAGGCCAGAUGAAAGAGAAUCAGAUUUGUAUUCUGUUGAUAGAUACCCAGUGCAGGGCAUGGGGUGGGGGCCAGGCCUGUGAAAAAGAAUUCAGCUUCCUCAUUUCGUGGCAUUUAUUUGCUCAUUAUUGAAACUAACGAAACUGCCCAGGAGCCUUUUGGUUUUGCCUUUCUUUAGUGUGCCUUCUUUUCUAAAAACUGUCUCUUAUAAUCGCUUCAUGUUACGCUGGAAGGUCCAUACCGAUUUUCGCUGAGAAUCACAGAAAUUUUCUUUUCAUAUUAAAAAAAAAUUAAAUGAAAGGUUUAUACUUUUAUAGUUCUUUAUACUUUUCAAAAGCUUCACACACAUGAUUUCAUAUACUCUCCUGUAUGAUUUCAUAUACCCCCAUAUUGCCCUCCCCCACCCCGACCCCCUGCUGGUAACCUCUAGUUUGUUCUUUGUGAGUCUGUUUCUUUUUUGUUUUAGUCACCAGUUUCUUGUAUUUUUGAGAUUCCACAUAGAAGUGAUAUCAUACAGAAUUUAUCUCUCUCUGUCUGACUUAUUUCACUUAGCACAGGUUUCCAUUUACACCUGGGCAGACUUAUUCGGCUGGCUCUAGGUGCUGCGGUCUCAGGCCACAGCCCUGGGAAGUGGAAGUGGUCUCCAGAUGUUAAGGUCCCCCUGGCCUGGCUCACCUCCCCUCCCUUAGAGAGGGCGUCCUUCACUCUCCAGUGAUACGGAGGCCUUAGGGAAGCUGCUUCCUCAGGGUUCAGAUCGUCUCUGGAAAGGACUCACACCUGAGUCUUGUGUUGCUCAUGAGUCAAAAGCCAGUGACCAACACUCUGCUAUACUCAGCACUUUAAUGACAAGGACUAACUAUGGGGUCAGGUGGCCCCUCUGAGGCACCUGCUCCCCUUAGAAUGAGUUCUUUCCCAAGAGGUUCCUUUGUUCUUCAAGCAAAUCCACAUCCUCUAGGCCGCCUUCCCACAACCCCCCGCUGCCCCCACCCCGUGUACGAUUUAUGUCCAUAAUUGAAUCCAAGAUGCACCCCAGAUCUGUACUCUUUGCCAUGUAGAAAUAUCAUCAAUUUGGAGUUCCUGUUGUGGCACAGCGAAAACGAAUCUGACUAGGAACCAUGAGGUUUCAGGUUCCAUCCCUGGCCUCAAUCACUAGUGGGUUAAGGAUCCAGCAUUGCCAUGAGCUGUGGUGUAGGUUGCAGACAUGACUCGGAUCCUGCGUUGUGUGGCUGUUGUGUAGGCUGGCAGUUGUAGCUCCAAUUUGACCCCUGGCCCGGGAA